GACUGGGGAGAUUUAACCAUCCCACGAACUUCAGAGUCGACUCGCGCGCGCUUCCUUUUCUGCUCUGCGACUCUUCGGAAAAAGCAAUGGCGAAUUUAUUGGUUACUGGGCUAAGAACUCUCUUCGCCGUGUUGUGCUGUGCUAUGGUGGCCACUCUCAUCGUCACCAUCUUCGUCGAUGGUCUUCCUUUUCGCAAAGAGCUCCUUACCCCGUGGAUGGCAGCAACCUUGGUCGACUUCUAUAUCAACGUUAUAACUUUGGCGGUAUGGAUUCUCUACAAGGAAUCGACCUGGCUCUGUGCAAUACUCUGGAUAAUCCUGCUAGUAUGCUUUGGCAGCAUUACUACAUGUGCCUACAUUCUUAUGCAAUUUCUCAAGUUGUCGUCUCAAGAAUCUUUACAAGAUCCCAUGUAUUAUGUUCUGUUGCGGCAUACAGACAAGGUUAACAUGGAGCAAAAGAGGAAGCACUCUUCUGUUGUGACUCUAAGAAUCCUUUUUGUUGCUUUGGGUUGUUUGAUGACGGGAACUUUGCUUUAUACUCUCUUGACUGAUGGUUCUCCUUUCCGCAAAGAGCUUUUCACUCCGUGGAUGCUAGCAACACUUAUCGACUUCUAUAUCAAUGUUGUGGCUUUAUCAGUUUGGGUUUACUACAAGGAAUCAAAUUGGAUUAGUGCCAUCAUUUGGAUAAUUCUAUUGAUAUCUUUUGGCAGUAUUACUACAUGUGUCUACAUUGCUUGGAAGCUGUUUCAGCUCAGCCCCCAAGAUCCAGCAUACCUUGUUUUAUUGAGUAGUGGCAGCAGGCAAGUCUAAUCACAUGUUUGACUUUUGAGUCGUAGUUCUACAUGCAAAUAAGACAGGCCGAUCAGGGCAGAAAGCAGGUAUAAUGGACUUCAUGCUGAGACAGUGCAACACUAAGUAUUGAUAACCAAGAAGGUUUUGAACCCCAUCAGAAUGCACAAAAAUAAAAAAUGACUGAGCAGAACUUUGUUGUUGAAUCUUGGUGAUCUAUUUAAAGCUGUGAAACAAGUCCCUUAUUUUUCAUACAUAGUUACAUUUUCCGAGUUCUUAAUUGACUCCUCUCAUACAGAACAAAAUUCACCAGGUGUACAUCUUAUUUUCAGUAGCAAUGAUGGUAAUGAGAAGUCAUUAAACUCAUGGGUUACAGUUCA
RNA transcript from Carya illinoinensis, 1168 nucleotides. RefSeq lists it as uncharacterized. Lineage: Eukaryota; Viridiplantae; Streptophyta; Magnoliopsida; Fagales; Juglandaceae. The record is from RefSeq and is a predicted model, not a curated record. The transcript has 9 exons.